CCUGGCUCAGAUUGAACGCUGGCGGCAGGCCUAACACAUGCAAGUCGAGCGGUAACAUUUCUAGCUUGCUAGAAGAUGACGAGCGGCGGACGGGUGAGUAAUGCUUGGGAACAUGCCUUGAGGUGGGGGACAACCAUUGGAAACGAUGGCUAAUACCGCAUAAUGUCUACGGACCAAAGGGGGCUUCGGCUCUCGCCUUUAGAUUGGCCCAAGUGGGAUUAGCUAGUUGGUGAGGUAACGGCUCACCAAGGCGACGAUCCCUAGCUGGUUUGAGAGGAUGAUCAGCCACACUGGAACUGAGACACGGUCCAGACUCCUACGGGAGGCAGCAGUGGGGAAUAUUGCACAAUGGGCGCAAGCCUGAUGCAGCCAUGCCGCGUGUGUGAAGAAGGCCUUAGGGUUGUAAAGCACUUUCAGUCAGGAGGAAAGGUUAGUAGUUAAUACCUGCUAGCU
Molecule: ribosomal RNA, 453 nt
Filed under: Pseudoalteromonas sp. U1
Lineage: Bacteria; Pseudomonadati; Pseudomonadota; Gammaproteobacteria; Alteromonadales; Pseudoalteromonadaceae
Description: bacterial SSU rRNA
Rfam family: Bacterial small subunit ribosomal RNA
Source: RNAcentral